CUUUAUAUAUUUAAUAAGUUGAAUUUUGUUUUAAGUUAAAAUUCUUAAAUAAUUUUAAAAGACGAGAAGACCCUAUAGAAUUUUAUAAAAUUUUAUCUUAUUAAUAUGAAUUUAUUUAAAAUUAGUUAAUAUUUAAUUUUAUUUUAUUGGGGUUAUAAAAAAAUUUAAUUAAAUUUUUUAGUUGGUGAAUUAUUAAUAAAUUUAUUUUUAAAAAUUAUUAUUUAUAUAAUUAAAUUAAAUUACCUUAGGGAUAACAGCGCAAUAUUUUUUAUAAGUUCAUAUUGGUAAAAAUGU
This 294-nucleotide ribosomal RNA is filed under the name Psyllaephagus cornwallensis. RNAcentral describes it as "partial 16S ribosomal RNA". Lineage: Eukaryota; Metazoa; Arthropoda; Insecta; Hymenoptera; Encyrtidae. The record is from RNAcentral.